UACGUAGGGGGCAAGCGUUAUCCGGAAUUACUGGGUGUAAAGGGAGCGUAGACGGUAAUGUAAGUCUGGAGUGAAAGGCGGGGGCCCAACCCCCGGACUGCUCUGGAAACUAUGUUACUAGAGUGCAGGAGAGGUAAGCGGAAUUCCUAGUGUAGCGGUGCAAUGCGUAGAUAUUAGGAGGAACACCAGUGGCGAAGGCGGCUUACUGGACUGUAACUGACGUUGAGGCUCGAAAGCGUGGGGAGCAAACAGG
RNAcentral lists this ribosomal RNA (253 nucleotides) under uncultured bacterium. RNAcentral describes it as "partial 16S ribosomal RNA". It matches the Rfam family "Bacterial small subunit ribosomal RNA", at positions 524 to 776 of the family's 1533-position model. The record is from RNAcentral.